This 253-nucleotide ribosomal RNA is filed under the name uncultured bacterium. RNAcentral describes it as "partial 16S ribosomal RNA". It matches the Rfam family "Bacterial small subunit ribosomal RNA", at positions 524 to 776 of the family's 1533-position model. The record is from RNAcentral.
UACGGAGGGUGCAAGCGUUAUCCGGAUUCACUGGGUUUAAAGGGUGCGUAGGCGGAUAGGUAAGUCCGUGGUGAAAUCCUGCAGCUUAACUGCAGAACUGCCAUGGAUACUAUUUAUCUUGAAUGUCGUGGAGGUUAGCAGAAUAUGUCAUGUAGCGGUGAAAUGCUUAGAGAUGUGGAGGAACACCGAUGGCGAAGGCAGCCUCCUGGGCCAACACUGACGCUCAUGCACGAAAGCGUGGGGAGCAAACAGG